RNAcentral lists this long non-coding RNA (269 nucleotides) under Elaeis guineensis (African oil palm). Its description in RNAcentral is "long non-coding RNA (EGUI_LNC010353)". The record is from RNAcentral. Lineage: Eukaryota; Viridiplantae; Streptophyta; Magnoliopsida; Arecales; Arecaceae.
UGCCCCCCCUCUUGGAUGAUUUUUUUCUCUUCUCCUGGUAUCAUGUUUAUAGCUUUCAUGAAAAGUCUUAGAUGUAUCCAACUUCCUGGUUACUCAUGGAUUUCCUUUUUUAUAGGUUUUAAAACCUUAGCGGCCAUUGCAUCGUGCAUCUUAGGUGCUUUCAUUUGAGUCCUAGGUGGCCGUUUGCCUAAAUUGAACCAUGCCAGCCCACGUUCAAAUUGAUCCCCACCGCUCACUCGUUCCCAAUCUUGCCCACACCCGAACCAAAC